This 468-nucleotide ribosomal RNA is filed under the name uncultured bacterium. Its description in RNAcentral is "partial 16S ribosomal RNA". It matches the Rfam family "Bacterial small subunit ribosomal RNA", at positions 28 to 507 of the family's 1533-position model. The record is from RNAcentral.
GACGAACGCUGGCGGCGUGCUUAACACAUGCAAGUCGAACGGAAAGGCCCUGCUUUUGUGGGGUGCUCGAGUGGCGAACGGGUGAGUAACACGUGAGUAACCUGCCCUUGACUUUGGGAUAACUUCAGGAAACUGGGGCUAAUACCGGAUAGGAGCUCCUGCUGCAUGGUGGGGGUUGGAAAGUUUCGGCGGUUGGGGAUGGACUCGCGGCUUAUCAGCUUGUUGGUGGGGUAGUGGCUUACCAAGGCUUUGACGGGUAGCCGGCCUGAGGGGGUGACCGGCCACAUUGGGACUGAGAUACGGCCCAGACUCCUACGGGAGGCAGCAGUGGGGAAUAUUGCACAAUGGGCGGAAGCCUGAUGCAGCAACGCCGCGUGCGGGAUGACGGCCUACGGGUUGUAAACCGCUUUCGCCUGUGACGAAGCGUGAGUGACGGUAAUGGGUAAAGAAGCACCGGCUAACUACGUG